Molecule: ribosomal RNA, 1343 nt
Filed under: uncultured bacterium
Lineage: Bacteria
Description: 16S ribosomal RNA
Rfam family: Bacterial small subunit ribosomal RNA
Source: RNAcentral
GACGAACUCUGGCGGCGUGCUUAACACAUGCAAGUCGAACGGAAAGGCCCUGCUUUUGUGGGGUGCUCGAGUGGCGAACGGGUGAGUAACACGUGAGUAACCUGCCCUUGACUUUGGGAUAACCUCAGGAAACUGGGGCUAAUACCGGAUAGGAGCUCCUGCUGCAUGGUGGGGGUUGGAAAGUUUCGGCGGUUGGGGAUGGACUCGCGGCUUAUCAGCUUGUUGGUGGGGUAGUGGCUUACCAAGGCUUUGACGGGUAGCCGGCCUGAGAGGGUGACCGGCCACAUUGGGACUGAGAUACGGCCCAGACUCCUACGGGAGGCAGCAGUGGGGAAUAUUGCACAAUGGGCGGAAGCCUGAUGCAGCAACGCCGCGUGCGGGAUGACGGCCUUCGGGUUGUAAACCGCUUUCGCCUGUGACGAAGCGUGAGUGACGGUAAUGGGUAAAGAAGCACCGGCUAACUACGUGCCAGCAGCCGCGGUGAUACGUAGGGUGCGAGCGUUGUCCGGAUUUAUUGGGCGUAAAGGGCUCGUAGGUGGUUGAUUGCGUCGGAAGUGUAAUCUUGGGGCUUAACCCUGAGCGUGCUUUCGAUACGGGUUGACUUGAGGAAGGUAGGGGAGAAUGGAAUUCCUGGUGGAGCGGUGGAAUGCGCAGAUAUCAGGAGGAACACCAGUGGCGAAGGCGGUUCUCUGGGCCUUUCCUGGCGCUGAGGAGCGAAAGCGUGGGGAGCGAACAGGCUUAGAUACCCUGGUAGUCCACGCUGUAAACGGUGGGUACUAGGUGUGGGGUCCAUUCCACGGGUUCCGUGCCGUAGCUAACGCUUUAAGUACCCCGCCUGGGGAGUACGGCCGCAAGGCUAAAACUCAAAGGAAUUGACGGGGCCCCGCACAAGCGGCGGAGCAUGCGGAUUAAUUCGAUGCAACGCGUAGAACCUUACCUGGGUUUGACAUGGAUCGGGAGUGCUCAGAGAUGGGUGUGCCUCUUUUGGGGUCGGUUCACAGGUGGUGCAUGGCUGUCGUCAGCUCGUGUCGUGAGAUGUUGGGUUAAGUCCCGCAACGAGCGCAACCCUUGUUCACUGUUGCCAGCACGUUAUGGUGGGGACUCAGUGGAGACCGCCGGGGUCAACUCGGAGGAAGGUGGGGAUGACGUCAAGUCAUCAUGCCCCUUAUGUCCAGGGCUUCACGCAUGCUACAAUGGCUGGUACAGAGAGUGGCGAGCCUGUGAGGGUGAGCGAAUCUCGGAAAGCCGGUCUCAGUUCGGAUUGGGGUCUGCAACUCGACCUCAUGAAGUCGGAGUCGCUAGUAAUCGCAGAUCAGCAACGCUGCGGUGAAUACGUUCCCGGG